GUGCCAGCCGCCGCGGUAAUACGAAGGGUGCAAGCGUUAAUCGGAAUUACUGGGCGUAAAGCGUGCGUAGGCGGUGACUUAAGUCUGUUGUGAAAUCCCCGGGCUCAACCUGGGAAUGGCAAUGGAUACUGGGUCGCUAGAGUGUGAUAGAGGAUGGUGGAAUUCCCGGUGUAGCGGUGAAAUGCGUAGAGAUCGGGAGGAACAUCAGUGGCGAAGGCGGCCAUCUGGAUCAACACUGACGCUGAGGCACGAAAGCGUGGGGAGCAAACAGGAUUAGAAACCCCCGUAGUCC
RNAcentral lists this ribosomal RNA (292 nucleotides) under uncultured bacterium. RNAcentral's name for it is "partial 16S ribosomal RNA". It matches the Rfam family "Bacterial small subunit ribosomal RNA", at positions 505 to 796 of the family's 1533-position model. The record is from RNAcentral.